AACGAACGCUGGCGGCAGGCCUAACACAUGCAAGUCGAGCGGUAACGCGGGAGCAAUCCUGGCGACGAGCGGCGAACGGGUGAGUAACACGUGGGUGACCUGCCCUCAGCUCUGGGAUAAGCCUGGGAAACCGGGUCUAAUACUGGAUAUGACUCCAUGGCGCAUGUUGUGGGGUGGAAAGCCUUGUGCGGCUGAGGAUGGGCCCGCGGCCUAUCAGCUUGUUGGUGGGGUGAUGGCCUACCAAGGCGA
Molecule: ribosomal RNA, 249 nt
Filed under: uncultured Actinomycetes bacterium
Lineage: Bacteria; Bacillati; Actinomycetota; Actinomycetes
Description: uncultured actinobacterium partial 16S ribosomal RNA
Rfam family: Bacterial small subunit ribosomal RNA
Source: RNAcentral